Molecule: ribosomal RNA, 499 nt
Filed under: uncultured Glomeromycotina
Lineage: Eukaryota; Fungi; Glomeromycota
Description: partial small subunit ribosomal RNA
Rfam family: Eukaryotic small subunit ribosomal RNA
Source: RNAcentral
CCAAUAGCGUAUAUUAAAGUUGUUGCAGUUAAAAAGCUCGUAGUUGAAUUUCGAGACCGGUUUAUUGGUCGUGCUUUUGUACGUACUGGUAUUAUUGGUUUCUCCUUUCUGACGAAUCUUAAUGCCAUUAAUUUGGUGUUUUGGGGAAUCAGGACUGUUACUUUGAAAAAAUUAGAGUGUUUAAAGCAGGCUCACGCUUGAAUACAUUAGCAUGGAAUAACGGAAUAGGACGUUUGAUUCUAUUUUGUUGGUUUCUAGGAUCGACGUAAUGAUUAAUAGGGAUAGUUGGGGGCAUUAGUAUUCAAUUGUCAGAGGUGAAAUUCUUGGAUUUAUUGAAGACUAACUACUGCGAAAGCAUUUGCCAAGGAUGUUUUCAUUAAUCAAGAACGAAAGUUAGGGGAUCGAAGACGAUCAGAUACCGUCGUAAUCUUAACCAUAAACUAUGCCGACUAGGGAUCGGAUGAUGUUAAUUUUUUAAUGACUCAUUCGGCGCCUUACG